GAUGAACGCUGGCGGCGUGCCUAAUACAUGCAAGUCGAGCGAACGGACGAGAAGCUUGCUUCUCUGAUGUUAGCGGCGGACGGGUGAGUAACACGUGGAUAACCUACCUAUAAGACUGGGAUAACUUCGGGAAACCGGAGCUAAUACCGGAUAAUAUUUUGAACCGCAUGGUUCAAAAGUGAAAGACGGUCUUGCUGUCACUUAUAGAUGGAUCCGCGCUGCAUUAGCUAGUUGGUAAGGUAACGGCUUACCAAGGCAACGAUGCAUAGCCGACCUGAGAGGGUGAUCGGCCACACUGGAACUGAGACACGGUCCAGACUCCUACGGGAGGCAGCAGUGGGGAAUCUUCCGCAAUGGGCGAAAGCCUGACGGAGCAACGCCGCGUGAGUGAUGAAGGUCUUCGGAUCGUAAAACUCUGUUAUUAGGGAAGAACAUAUGUGUAAGUAACUGUGCACAUCUUGACGGUA
RNAcentral lists this ribosomal RNA (467 nucleotides) under uncultured bacterium. Its description in RNAcentral is "bacterial SSU rRNA". It matches the Rfam family "Bacterial small subunit ribosomal RNA", at positions 28 to 477 of the family's 1533-position model. The record is from RNAcentral.